GGCGGACGGGUGAGGAAUACAUCGGAAUCUACUCUGUCGUGGGGGAUAACGUAGGGAAACUUACGCUAAUACCGCAUACGACCUACGGGUGAAAGCAGGGGAUCUUCGGACCUUGCGCGAUUGAAUGAGCCGAUGUCGGAUUAGCUAGUUGGCGGGGUAAAGGCCCACCAAGGCGACGAUCCGUAGCUGGUCUGAGAGGAUGAUCAGCCACACUGGAACUGAGACACGGUCCAGACUCCUACGGGAGGCAGCAGC
RNAcentral lists this ribosomal RNA (255 nucleotides) under uncultured Stenotrophomonas sp. RNAcentral describes it as "partial 16S ribosomal RNA". It matches the Rfam family "Bacterial small subunit ribosomal RNA", at positions 97 to 355 of the family's 1533-position model. The record is from RNAcentral. Lineage: Bacteria; Pseudomonadati; Pseudomonadota; Gammaproteobacteria; Lysobacterales; Lysobacteraceae.